GACGAACGCUGGCGGCGUGCUUAACACAUGCAAGUCGAACGGAAAGGCCCUGCUUUUGUGGGGUGCUCGAGUGGCGAACGGGUGAGUAACACGUGAGUAACCUGCCCUUGAAUUUGGGAUAACUUCAGGAAACUGGGGCUAAUACCGGAUAGGAGCUCCUGCUGCAUGGUGGGGGUUGGAAAGUUUCGGCGGUUGGGGAUGGACUCGCGGCUUAUCAGCUUGUUGGUGGGGUAGUGGCGUACCAAGGCUUUGACGGGUAGCCGGCCUGAGAGGGUUACCAGCCACAAUGGGACUGAGGGACGGACCAGACUCCUACGGGAGGCAGCAGGGGGAAAUAUUGCACAAUGGGCGGAAGCCUGAUGCAGCGACGCCGCGUGCGGGAUGACGUCCUUCGGGUUGUAAACCGCUUUCGCCUGUGACGAAGCGUGAGUGACGGUAAUGGGUAAAGAAGCACCGGCUAACUACGUG
RNAcentral lists this ribosomal RNA (468 nucleotides) under uncultured bacterium. RNAcentral describes it as "partial 16S ribosomal RNA". It matches the Rfam family "Bacterial small subunit ribosomal RNA", at positions 28 to 507 of the family's 1533-position model. The record is from RNAcentral.